CUUGCCCGUCGCCAGGGUCCUGCCGUCGUCGACGACCUCGAAGGUCGUGCGCAGGUGGUCGGGGACGGCGUCGAGGUUCCACGCGUCGCGCGGGA
This 95-nucleotide transfer RNA is filed under the name Actinokineospora fastidiosa. Its description in RNAcentral is "tRNA-Ser". Lineage: Bacteria; Bacillati; Actinomycetota; Actinomycetes; Pseudonocardiales; Pseudonocardiaceae. RNAcentral also lists the same sequence under 1 other name. The record is from RNAcentral.